ACUUCGCCGUCUCCCUGGGAGAAGUGCAUGUCCCCUGUACUAAGAUUUGCUCCAUCUACAAAUACUGGAAGGUAUAUUUUUGAACCUGUACUGAGAUUCUUGAUGUCACAGUUUCCUCCAUUUUCCCUUCCUGGGAUAGUCCUUGCAGCCUCUCUAGCAAUUCUUUCCCAUUCAGGAGUUCCCUUUUGGAUCUGCCCAUAAUAAUGACCUGUUAGCAUAACUGAAUCCUACUGAUGGGAAGUUCCCAGUCCAAAAAGCCACAUUUUUCUGGGCACUGAAUUGUUAAAACUAUGUGGAUUAUAGGAAAAUAAAGUGUGGGGGAAUUCGAAAUACUCCUAUCGUGAUGUCUUCUAUGUUGACAUAUGUUCAUCUUUAUGCACCUUUCCAAGAUGGCAGCCUUUGGUUGAUGGAAGAUUUGCCAAUGGCCGGGAAUGCAGAACCUCGCAUAGUUUCAGAGUCUGGAGACCAUUUUCUUCUACUUGUCUCUCUCUCUCAUUCCAUAUAUUCAGAAGUUCCAUUGAUGGUGCAGUUCCAACUAUUCCAGGG
This 546-nucleotide long non-coding RNA is filed under the name Vitis vinifera (wine grape). Its description in RNAcentral is "long non-coding RNA (VVIN_LNC002242)". The record is from RNAcentral. Lineage: Eukaryota; Viridiplantae; Streptophyta; Magnoliopsida; Vitales; Vitaceae.